UGGGGAAUUUUGGACAAUGGGCGCAAGCCUGAUCCAGCCAUUCCGCGUGCAGGACGAAGGCCUUCGGGUUGUAAACUGCCUUUGUACGGAACGAAAAGGCUCUGGCUAAUACCUGGGGCUCAUGACGGUACCGUAAGAAUAAGCACCGGCUAACUACGUGCCAGCAGCCGCGGUAAUACGUAGGGUGCAAGCGUUAAUCGGAAUUACUGGGCGUAAAGCGUGCGCAGGCGGUUAUGUAAGACAGAGGUGAAAUCCCCGGGCUCAACCUGGGAACUGCCUUUGUGACUGCAUAGCUGGAGUACGGCAGAAGGGGAUGGAAUUCCGCGCGUAGCAGUGAAAUGCGUAGAUAUGCGGAGGAACACCGAUGGCGAAGGCAAUCCCCUGGGCCUGUACUGACGCUCAUGCACGAAAGCGUGGGGAGCAAACAG
RNAcentral lists this ribosomal RNA (428 nucleotides) under uncultured bacterium. RNAcentral describes it as "bacterial SSU rRNA". It matches the Rfam family "Bacterial small subunit ribosomal RNA", at positions 355 to 775 of the family's 1533-position model. The record is from RNAcentral.